RNAcentral lists this ribosomal RNA (465 nucleotides) under uncultured bacterium. RNAcentral's name for it is "partial 16S ribosomal RNA". It matches the Rfam family "Bacterial small subunit ribosomal RNA", at positions 338 to 795 of the family's 1533-position model. The record is from RNAcentral.
CCUACGGUGGGCUGCAGUGGGGAAUUUUGGACACUGGGCGCAAGCCUGAUCCAGCUAUUCCGCGUGUGGGAUGACGGCCUUCGGGUUGUAAACCACUUUUGUAGAGAACGAAAAGUCUGUUGAUCAUACCGAUAGAUGCUGACUGUAUUCUAAGAAUAAGCACCGGCUAACUACGUGCAGGCAGCCUUGGUAAUACGGAGGGUGCGUGCGGUAAUCGGAAUUACUGGGCGUAAAUGUUGUGCAGGUGGUUUUGCAAGAUGGAUGUGAAAGCCCCGGGCUUAACCUGGGAAAGCCAUACAUGACUGCAAGACUAGAGUGCGUCAGAGGUGAGUGGAAUUCCAAGUGUAGCAGUGAAAUGCGUAGAUAUUUGGAAGAACACCGAUGGCGAAGGCAGCCCCCUGGGACGCAACUGACGCUCAGACACGAAAGCGUGGGGAGCAAACAGGAUUAGAUACCCGAGUAGUC